RNAcentral lists this ribosomal RNA (331 nucleotides) under uncultured eukaryote. RNAcentral's name for it is "partial 18S ribosomal RNA". It matches the Rfam family "Eukaryotic small subunit ribosomal RNA", at positions 1470 to 1796 of the family's 1831-position model. The record is from RNAcentral.
CCCUUAGAUGUUCUGGGCCGCACGCGCGCUACACUGACGAAUUCAACGAGUUUACAACCUUUGCUGGGAGGCAUGGGUAAUCUUGUGAACGUUCGUCGUGAUGGGGAUAGAUUAUUGCAAUUGUUAAUCUUCAACGAGGAAUUCCUAGUAAACGCAAGUCAUCAGCUUGCAUUGAUUACGUCCCUGCCCUUUGUACACACCGCCCGUCGCACCUACCGAUUGAAUGGUCCGGUGAAUUCUUCGGACUGCGGCUUUGACUCGAUUUCGGUCGAGGCGUUGCUGCGGGAAGUUGAUUAAACCUUACCAUUUAGAGGAAGGUGAAGUCGUAACA